UACGAAGGGGGCUAGCGUUGUUCGGAAUUACUGGGCGUAAAGCGCACGUAGGCGGAUACUUAAGUCAGGGGUGAAAUCCCGGGGCUCAACCCCGGAACUGCCUUUGAUACUGGGUAUCUCGAGUCCGGAAGAGGUGAGUGGAAUUCCGAGUGUAGAGGUGAAAUUCGUAGAUAUUCGGAGGAACACCAGUGGCGAAGGCGGCUCACUGGUCCGGUACUGACGCUGAGGUGCGAAAGCGUGGGGAGCAAACAGGG
RNAcentral lists this ribosomal RNA (254 nucleotides) under uncultured bacterium. RNAcentral describes it as "partial 16S ribosomal RNA". It matches the Rfam family "Bacterial small subunit ribosomal RNA", at positions 524 to 777 of the family's 1533-position model. The record is from RNAcentral.